This 1300-nucleotide ribosomal RNA is filed under the name Soliperla sp. ZTC-2018. RNAcentral's name for it is "large subunit ribosomal RNA". The stretch from base 531 to 1300 matches the Rfam family "Archaeal large subunit ribosomal RNA", at positions 1423 to 2838 of the family's 2987-position model. The record is from RNAcentral. Lineage: Eukaryota; Metazoa; Arthropoda; Insecta; Plecoptera; Peltoperlidae.
UUUUAUAAUAAAAUCAUUUUUAUUUGUAUAGGUUUUUGUAUAGGUUAUAGAUAGAAUUUUUAAUUUGAUAGUUAAUUUGUAUUGUGAAAGGUUGUUGAAAUAAUUUUAAAAUUUAAUUUUUGUUAAGUAGUUUUAUUUUAACGUACCUUGUGUAUCAGGGUUUAUUAAAAAAUUUUUAAUUAAUUUAAAUUUCCCGAUUUGAAGAGAGCUAAAUAAUACUGUUAUUUGUUGUGGAAUAAACAUUAAUGAGUAUUAUUUAGAAAUGAAACGUUAUUCGUUCUUUAAGAUAUCUGGUUUUUUGAGAAAUAAAUUUAAUUUAGUUGUUGAUUUUCAUUAAAUUUAUUUAUUAAUUUAAUGUUGUUCAAUGUAAAUAUUCAGGGGGAUAAGCUCUUGAAUAUUAUUUAGAGGUAUAUUAAUAUAGUGGAAAAUUAAAUAGGCUUAGAAUUAGCCAUUUUAAGUGUGUUAUAACUUUAUUUUUUUGAAGUGUUAUUUAUUUUUAAUCUUAAGUUUUUUAUCAAAAUUUUUCAAUUAAUUUUUAAUUGUCAGUAAUAAUGAUGAAAUUAGUAUAAAUAGUUGUUGGAGUUAUAAUGUAAUUUUAUUGUAAGGUUAUAUUAAGGAAUUAGGCAAAUUAAUGCUCGCCUGUUUAACAAAAACAUGUCUUCAUGAAAAUUGAUGUGAAGUCUGACCUGCCCACUGAAAAUUAAUUUAAAGGGCCGCGGUAUUUUGACCGUGCAAAGGUAGCAUAAUCAUUAGUCUUUUAAUUGAAGGCUAGAAUGAAUGGUUGGACGAGGUAUUGACUGUCUCAAUAUAAUUGGAAUUAGAAUUUAACUUUUAAGUUAAAAGGCUUAAAUUAGUUUAAAGGACGAGAAGACCCUAUAGAGCUUUAUAUUUAAAUAAUUAAUUUAUGUUUGGGGGUAUUUUUAUUGUAGUUUUUAAAAUAUUUUGUUGGGGUGACAGGAAGAUUAAAUAAACUCUUUUAUUAGGUUUAACACGGAUUAGUGAUAGUUUGAUCCAUUUUUAGUGAUUAUAAGACUAAGUUACCUUAGGGAUAACAGCGUAAUCUUUUUUGAGAGUUCUUAUCGACAAGAAGGGUUGCGACCUCGAUGUUGGAUUAAAGGUAAUUUUGGGUGUAGAAGUUCAAAUUUUGGGUCUGUUCGACCCUUAAAUCUUUACAUGAUCUGAGUUCAGACCGGCGUAAGCCAGGUCGGUUUCUAUCCUUAAUUUAUUUAUGAUACUUUAGUACGAAAGGACCAAGUAUUGGGAAAAAUUAUUCUUUAGAAUAUUGAUUUAAAAUAAUAGU